RNAcentral lists this long non-coding RNA (4032 nucleotides) under Olea europaea subsp. europaea. The record is from RNAcentral. Lineage: Eukaryota; Viridiplantae; Streptophyta; Magnoliopsida; Lamiales; Oleaceae.
UUUUAAACUUCAACUAUCCAUCAAAGACAAGGACGUUGAGUGAUGAACAAUUAAGAAUGUAGUUAAGCGUACACGGGCGUCCACUCACGUGGGCCUGUCAACCGCCCGAGUCCAAAUAGCAAAUUUAAGACAAUUAAUUUUUUUUUUUCUCUCUCGUUCACUAAAUUUGUUUCCUAAUUCUCGUCUCAAUUUUUAAUUGCUGCAAAAACCAAGUUGCAAUUUUAGGGUUCGGGAGUUCAUCUACUGCUGAUCCUUAAUAUAUUUUCUGGUUUUCCAAUUUCAUUCUGCCGAAAGAUUCUGUGAUCAUGAGCUUAAUUAUAUAACAUUUUUAUCAGCUGUGCUGGAAGUUGGAGGGACGAUUCGAGCUGUUGGGAUUUGGGGAAUUACAAAAUCGAAGCUACAGUUCACUAUCACCUUGGGCGGCUCGUGUCAAGUAUGUAUUUUUAUUAUUACUUUUUUUGUCUCUAAUUUCUCUUUAUCGUAUAUUAAGCUUGUAUAUGUAGUGUCUAUAUAUAUGCAGUUGAAAAUUAUUUCAAAAUAAUUAAUUUUAUGAAUUGAUACACGCGUAUGAUUAUUAGCUUAAAUAAAACAAUGAUGCUUCAUUUUAUGUUUGGGAAGAGAUUAUAGUCCGUUUAAAUUUUAAACCAAUGAAAUGUGUGGAUAAAAAGUAGUUUUGACAAAUUAUAAACAACCAAAUAUCAAUAUGCAAAAAAAUAUAGCUAUCCUUGUGGGUUUUUAUUGUUACCUGAUUUUAUUCUCUCUCAAUGUGUGUUGAAUGUAUAGAAAGCCGUGAAGGGGCCAUGGGCAAACUCUGUUGGUCGUGCUAAUGCUCGUGUAUUAUCAGGAAGCAAAAGAUUAUCAGCAGAUUCUUUUGGGAGCCAUUUUGAUCAUUCAUUUUCUUACUUAACAAACAGUGUCGGUUUUCAGUAACCCUCUCUAGUUAAGUCUAUGGUGCUUCCUCAAAGUGUAAAUAAUCUGAAGAUAGCUGAGGUUGAAAAUUUGAUGAUUUACACACGUCAGAAUAAAUAAUUUUAGAAUUGAGGUCAUUAUCUUUUGUUAUAUUUAGUUAUUUACAGGCUAAGAAGUGAUGUGGAACCAAGGAGCGGGAGCUCUGAACACAAUUGCCAGAAUGGAUAUAGUACUUAAAUCAGCACCUUGUAACUCUAUUGUGAUUUUAUAUCCCCAUCACAUGAUAUGCACUUCUGAACUUUUCUUCUUGUUUUAAUGCCUUCUUUGGGUAUCAAACUUGACUUAGAAGAUCCAUGAGUUGAUUUAAAAGAUUUCCGCUUGAAGCUAAUGCACAAGAGAAUAAGUAGGAUAUAGAGCACAGGAUAGAGGAGCGCAAGAAGAUGGAACUGCAUGAGAAAGUUUCAAGAGCUAUUCGGUCUCUGGAAUCGCCUGAAAGGAGCAUUUUGAAAAAAAUUUCACGAACAACAGGAGAAGCUGGGACGCCAUUAAGUUCAUAUGUUUCUUGGACUUUGGAUGGACCAAGUCGAAGGUAGUUAUGAGAUCAUCUAGUGGAAUUUUCAACCCCUAGGAUGACAACUGAUGAAGUGCGGCGAGUACAAAAUACUUUAAGCACUGGGUGUAUCUUGACAAUCAAUCUCUUGGAUCCUUCUAGAUCAACGGGCUCUCUUCUUAUGAUCUUGAGCGCCCCUGUAGAUUCUGGCAAGCUGGUUACAAGACUCCCUUCAGCAAGUGGUGGGACGUCCAGAAUCCAGAUGCCCAUAUCCCCAUACCAUGUAUAAAUCUGUCUUCUCUUAGCUUCUCUUUCGUGCUAGCAUGGGUUGUUUCUAGUAGAGACAGAAGUUAGUGGUUGAAAAUUGAGAUUUGUCUGGGUUACAUUGACUUCCUUGGUAACCAGCACUAUAUAGAAUAAAAGUACUCUAGCACGCCGUAGAUAAUGAAAUCUAAUAGGCAAAUAGAUUUUCAACCUUGUAAGCACUUAGCAGUAGUUCUUCAUGGGAUUUACUCCUUAGGCUUUUGAUGUAGAAUAGAUGGCUGAGUGGAUUGAAAAAGAAAAAAGUAAUAGUGCAAGUAUGGCAGUUGAGCUCCGAUUUGGGCCCGUAAUACUAUUCUGGAAAUCUGUUUUUAAAGUUUUAGUGCUAUUUUUAUCAUUUAGUUUAUUUUGAAUUCUUUGCAAUUUUUGUUUAAAGUAGGUUUUCAUGUAAACCCUUGUAAAUAAAGGGUUAAUUCAUCAUUUUUCUUUUUAUCAACUUUGAAUUAAUAAAAUUCGUUAGUUUUUUUCAUAAUUUGGUGGGUUACAAAAUUCAUGUUCUUUCAAUUAAGGUUUCGCUUGAAUUCCCUGUUUCACAUUUUAGGCAAGAUGCUUUAUGUAAUUAUUAUGCUAAUCGUCGCAGAGUGACUGGAUCAAAAUUGAUAAAUUUCUCUUAAGUAACCACUUAUAGUUCAAUUUUUGUGUCUAUCCUUUCAGCAGGUUGCUAUUCGCAUAAGCUAUGACUUUCGAAGAAGAUGUGGAUGGAAAUAUUUGUUAAAUUCAUAAAUGUUUAAUGUUUUAUAUCAGGAGUUGGAGUCAUAAUUAGAUUAUUCUAGAGGUAAAGAUUUCUUUUAUAGGAUUGAUGAAAACUUAGAGGGUAUUUCACUUUUCUAAAACAAACAACAGUUUGGAUUGAUAAUCGUAAAUGACUUUUCACUUAACAAUUAAUAUGCCCUAGACGCAUUUCAUCUGACACAAUGAAAUAUAUUACCUCUUGUACUAGCAGACUAACUUUGUUGUAGUAAUAAGGUUCUUUCUGAUUUUAUGUAGGACAAACAACCUCCCACUGUGAGGGGCUCGCUGCAUUCACUUGGUUGGGGAAUAUGCUAUUUCAUUUCCAGCUGGCGUUUGGGAUCACUUUCAUAGAAUAAGAAUGCAAAAACUAGUGCCUUUUUAUUUUAACUUCAUGUAGGCAUUGGUCUUGUACUGUAAGGAAAAAAUGAUUUGCCAUUCAGAUUUUGAAGUCUUGUGAUUAUUUCAUAUAUUGUUAUGAUAAUUUAAGAAUGUAUAGAUGGUAAACUGCUGAUAAAUAAUGCGAAUAACAAGAUGGUAAGCAAUAGUGGUGGUGGCAUAUCCACAAAAGUAGUUUCUUCAAGUGUUGACUUGUAGUUCACUGAAGAAUGUAGCAUUGUUAUUGUUCAUUGGCUAAUUUUUUGAUAUCGAGGCUUAUUCUAUAUUGCAGUACUGAAGCAAAUGGGCGACCAAGAUCUGAAAGAGUUGGGAAUUCCCACGGAAUUUUUUUCAUUCAUUUUUGACUAAAAUAAUUGAUCGUAGGAUGCAUGCCCCGGGCGAACCUUUUCGUGUUUAUUUGAACUGUUGUUGGUGACAGGCUAGAGGACUCAUAUUUCAUGUCACCGUCAAAUUACGCAAAAACACGACAAAAAUCAUUUAUCAAACGCCAAAAAGCUGAGAAGAACGCACAAAAUAACGAAAGACUGUAACAUAAUGAUCAUGGAUUUAUAGCCCCAAGGUUGUGACUGGUGGAAAUACCUCUUUCUAUGUCAUAAAAUGCCAUUAAAAUUUAAGUGUCAAGUUUUCUGCUGCUUCUCGAAAGCAAAAGGUAAGAAGUCUCUCACCAUUGUGUCUGCUUGAAUAAAGUAUGAUUUGUUCCAACCUCAAUUAGAUAGCGGCAUCAUCUAAUUUGCAAGCGACGUCAUGUAAUUGCAAGUAGUAAUAUUGAUUCCUCGAGUGCAGGAGGAGAAAGUAACACUGAUUUCAUCUGAUUUGCUAUUUGGCAGGGACCAAGGAAGAAGAUUCAUCUUGCUGUAUUGGCCCGUAUAAAGCAAUCAACAGCACAAGCAAGCACAUUGCAACCAUGUGCAUUAGGUUAUAGGUGAAGAAUGUUUAUGAAUCUGGGAUUAAGAAUCAGUAAUUCGAUUUGAAAAACCUAGGAAUGUAACAAAUUGAUGGUUAUUGGAUACAGUUUGUGAACAUACGGACAAUGAUGCCAUGCCAUGAAAUAAAUGCUUGUUUUAUAGCACCUCCGUCGAAUAAAGAUAUGCUUGUUUCUAUUUUUAAACGGAGUCAAAAAAUGC